Molecule: non-coding RNA, 31 nt
Filed under: Mus musculus (house mouse)
Lineage: Eukaryota; Metazoa; Chordata; Mammalia; Rodentia; Muridae
Source: RNAcentral
UAGAAGACAUCUUUUCCACCUCUGAAUAUGC